This 29-nucleotide non-coding RNA is filed under the name Rattus norvegicus (Norway rat). Lineage: Eukaryota; Metazoa; Chordata; Mammalia; Rodentia; Muridae. The record is from RNAcentral.
CAGAUACUCGUGAGAGACUUGCCAAAGAG